CAGCCGCCGCGGUAAUACCGGCGGCCCGAGUGGCGGCCACUAUUAUUGGGCCUAAAGCGUCCGUAGCCGGGCUGGUAAGUCCCCCGGGAAAUCUGGCGGCUUAACCGUCAGAAUUCCGGGGGAUACUGCCAGCCUAGGGACCGGGAGAGGCCGGGGGUAUUCCCGGGGUAGGGGUGAAAUCCUGUAAUCCCGGGAGGACCAGCUGUGGCGAAGGCGCUCGGCUGGAACGCGUCCGACGGUGAGGGACGAAGGCCAGGGGAGCAAACCGGAUUAGAUACCCGGGUAGUCCUGGCUGUAAACGAUGCGGACUUUGUGUCGGACAAGCUAUGAGCUUGUCCGGUGCCGGAGGGAAACCGUUAAGUCCGCCGCCUGGGGAGUACGGCCGCAAGGCUGAAACUUAAAGGAAUUGGCGGG
This 414-nucleotide ribosomal RNA is filed under the name uncultured microorganism. Its description in RNAcentral is "bacterial SSU rRNA". It matches the Rfam family "Archaeal small subunit ribosomal RNA", at positions 459 to 872 of the family's 1478-position model. The record is from RNAcentral.